UGAGUACGAGAUGCUACGGCAUCGAAGCAGUGUAUGUCAUACUUCCAAGAAAAGCUCGCAAUGUCGUAAACAAAUAAUGCCUGUACCAUAACCGACACAGGUGGGUAGGUAGAGUAUACUAAGGGGCGCGAGAUAACUCUCUCUAAGGAACUCGGCAAAAUGACUCCGUAACUUCGGGAGAAGGAGUGCCUUAUUUUUAUAAGGUUGCAAUAACAAGAUCCAAGCAACUGUUUACCAAAAACACAGGUCUCCGCUAAGUCGUAAGACGAUGUAUGGGGGCUGACGCCUGCCCAGUGCCAGAAGGUUAAAGAAGUUGGUUAGCAUUAGCGAAGCUGAUAACUGAAGCCCUGGUGAACGGCGGCCGUAACAAUAACGGUCCUAAGGUAGCGAAAUUCCUUGUCGGGUAAGUUCCGACCCGCACGAAAGGCGUAAUGAUUUGGAUACUGUCUCGGAGAGGGGCUCGGUGAAAUAGACUUGUCUGUGAAGAUGCGGACUACCUGCACCUGGACAGAAAGACCCUAUGAAGCUUUACUGUAACUUGAGAUUGAAAUUGGACUUUAUCUGCGCAGUAUAGGUGGGAGACGUUGGUAAUAUUCUUGCGGGAAUAUUGGAGUCAUCAGUGAGAUACCACUCUUAUAAUGUUAGAUUUCUAACUUUGUAUCAUUAUCUGGUCAAAGAACAGUUUCAGGCGGGCAGUUUGACUGGGGCGGUCGCCUCCCAAACGGUAACGGAGGCGCACAAAGGUUUCCUCUGAACGUGUAGAAAUCGUAUCUAGAGUGUAAAGGCAUAAGGAAGCUUGACUGUGAGACCUACAAGUCGAGCAGGGACGAAAGUCGGUUUUAGUGAUCUGACGGUGCUGAGUGGAAAGGCCGUCACUCAACGGAUAAAAGUUACUCUAAGGAUAACAGGCUGAUCUCCCCCAAGAGUUCACAUCGACGGGGAGGUUUGGCACCUCGAUGUCGGCUCAUCGCAUCCUGGGGCGGUAGUACGUCCCAAGGGUUGGGCUGUUCGCCCAUGAAAGCGGUACGCGAGCUGGGUUCAGAACGUCGUGAGACAGUUCGGUCCAUAUCCGGUGUAGGCGUUAGAAUAUUGAGAGGAGCCUUCUUUAGUACGAGAGGACCGAGAAGGACAUACCUCUGGUGUACCAGUUAUCGUGCCAACGGUAAACGCUGGGUAGCUAUGUAUGGAGAGGAUAACCGCUGAAAGCAUCUAAGUGGGAAGCCCACCUCAAGAUAAG
Molecule: ribosomal RNA, 1237 nt
Filed under: metagenome
Description: bacterial LSU rRNA
Rfam family: Bacterial large subunit ribosomal RNA
Source: RNAcentral